CACGGUGGCUCUAAAUAGUCACCCAAACCUUGAUACAAUCUGGAGCACAAGAGGCAUUUUUAUUGCAUCAGAUGCGACUAAGAAGUAACUCUUGAGAAGUUGAUAAACUCUCCCAAAAUACAGGGGGCCCUGGGAGCCAGCGCUGAUGAAAUAGGUGAUGCCAUGGUCAAGGCGAUUGCAGUUGGUGGUACAUAUUAUGAUUGGGAACACAAAGAGUUGUGGUUUAAAAUGGCGAAAAUAUUUAGAUGGAGCUCACUGCAUAUAUUAUAGCAUAUGCAAUUUCCAAAGGAAUAAUUUAAGAAGUGCAUGGAUCAGCACGUCAUGAAGGCCUUUAAAAUACAGCCAAGGGUUAGGGUUUUAGCAGGGACAACCCAUUGCUGGAAACAUGGCGCGAUCGUUGCCGGGAAUGCUUUUCUUUGCUUAUGGCUUGAUCGUGAAUCCUGGAUGAGGGCAUGGGAGCGAAUGUGAUUGAGAGUAAAAUGGGCGAUGUCAUCCAGGCAUAGCAGAAAAAAGAAAAGUCUGAGGUUGCCAUCCUAGCGGUGGAGCCACAAGACAAUAACCAACAUAAAUCAAUAUCUAUUUUCAAGGCUGAUUCGUGCCUAUUGGCAAUCUCUGACUCUUUUGCCCUCGUAUAAUUUACAGAAGUUAAUACAACCAAACUCUUCAACCAAAAUCUUCAUAAAUCUGAAUGAUCACUGAUCUAUGAAUGAAGAAAACUUGUGCUCAUCUCUCUAAUUGGGCUCUCUCCUUUGGUUCUUUCUCUAGUGAGGCGGCUUUCGGUUUUGUCCUUGAAAGGUACCGAAGUCCUCAUAUGACUAUCCAUUAGCUCUGCUCCAUUCAUCCAAGCACAAUAAUUCCCAGAGGUAGGUGGUGGAUUUUGAUUGAGCUCUCCUGCAUGCUGCGCAUGUGUUGGGCAUGGUCACAAAGGCCUAGAUUUCUCGAUGGCAUGACCAUUUGGGGCAGGGAAUUAAAUCUUUUCUCGUUUGCUAACCAGGAGGCAAUAACUGGGGUCAGUGUGGAGAGUUAUAUGUAUGCGGCACACAUAUGGACUGCUCCCUAUUUUCGUAUAUAUAUGGACGGGAAUCCAGCGGCCCUGAAAGCCAUGGUGCAUAUGUUUUAAUGGGCACAGCACCUGAGUGGCCUCAUGUCAAAGGCGGUCAUUGUGGGCACAACAUGGACCUUGUGCUUGUGUUGGGAUCAUCGCGCACAUGCACAUCCAUGAGUAUAACUGAAUAGCCCCAGGCCAUCUUUCACAUCAUCUUGUCACAUAUACAGAUGGGCAACUGCUACAAGGGGAAAGAUGCCCUCUCGGGGCAAAUGCUGCAUCCGGUGGAUGCCAGGGAUUAAUUAAUUAGUUCAUCUGCCCAGAUGCAUUUCGCAUAUGUCACUGCAAAACAAAUGCCCAACCAAAAGGGUGUUUUCAUUCAAGGAAACCAUUUUCUGAAGGUAUAUCUGUAGUAUAUUCCAACUUGCAUGAAAUUUCAAUAAAAAAUAACCUGUCGACAAUGGCAAUGAAAAAUCUUGCACAAACCAUAUUUCUUAAAUAUGUCAAUCAUAUAAAAAACUGAAUAUAAAUCAUGAAUCAUGAACAAUAGCAUGGAUCACUCACAUAGCAUAAUUGGAUCGAGACAAAAAUAUGAUGUGACAAAGUUUAAUCAAUUAAUUAGAAAGUAUAGAACCUGCUCUCUGUUCUAGCAAAUCUUAUUUUAAAGGUAAAUAAAAACAUUAAUGAAUAUAAUGAGUGAUAGCAUUUGGCCACAUGCUAUUCCUGAGAAUUAUAAUAUAAAAUAUAAAUACCCGGUUAUUUUAAGAAAUGGCAUUUCAAGGUGACCAAGAACAAUUUAUUAAUAAUUGUAUUAUUCUACCAUGUUUGAUCUUGUAUUUAGAGCUUAUAAAUGUGUUUAUAAUUUAUAAACUUUCCUAAACAUGUCCUAGUAUAUUCUAGUUUAUUUUAAUAAUUGAAGAGUAAUAUUGCUCACAGCAAAUUAUUUAUUGUUAUUAAUAUUAAUCUGAUGAAUCCGGGUUACAAUUGCGAAAGCCGUGUGACAUUGACCGCCCCCGGGCGCAAUCCUCCCUAGCAGCGCCAGCGAAGAACACGAUCGCUCGAACCAGUCCCUGGUCACCUCGGGAUCCGGCAGCGUGACGAACUUGUAGUAGAGAAGAACUCCCUACUCUGGGAGCGCCAUAGCUCCACAAAAGCCCUAGUUUUCAUGGCUACUUGUUAAUGGAAAAUUCCAAGAGUAUAGAAGAGUGGCAUUUGCUCAUAGAUAACGCACAGGCAUUCUCAUAGCUCUGUCGUUCCCACUGGGAGGUAGAGCUUGGUUCUGUCUUCACUGGGACAGUCCCAGUGAAGGACCCAGGAUCAGGGAUUUUGAUCGAGCAAGUAGUGGAUGUUUUUACAUCGAGUCGUAGUGUCUUACAGCAUUUGCCUCAGCUGGCAUUUCUAUGUUUUUGUCGAUGCUAGAAAGUUUCUUCCUCGGAAAGCCAAAAUAGUCUCGUAAGAAAUCUCAUCUGGGCUCAAAUUUGAUGUGGAAUAAGAAAGCGAAUGUUAUAUGAACUUAUAGAAGCGUAAGUAAGAAUGCUGGACUGGAUCUAGCAUUUGGCUUUAAUGGGCAUAAGUUUGGUUGCUAUGGACGAAAGUCCUUGUUAAGGCAAGGAAAGAAUCUAUCCAGAUGCAUUUGCUUUCAAUGGGCAUUUGUGUUUCUUUGCUCUUCUAUUUGUUGCUACACUUGGUGUUCUAAUACUGUAACUAGUUUUGCUCACAUGCCUGACUGACUUUGAUCUUUUUUUUUUCUUUUUCUUUGUCUUUUUCACUGAUUAGUUUUUUCUCUCCGGUUCUGCCAAUAAGCUGGUCUUUCUUUCAUUCUUUUGUUUCAAGCAGGCCUUUCUACUACAAGGCUCUUAAGUUCUCUGUUUUUCUUUAAAUGAAAUCCAGGUGGCAAUUCAAGGAUAUAUAGGGUAAGGUUUUCGGAGAGAACGAGGAAGCUCGACGUCCAAGCCUGGGAGGAUGGGAACUGGGUGCCAUUGGAGCUGCGUCUUAAGGAGGAGAUGGAGAGGGCCAAGGAGGCAAUGCCCUCCUUGGCAAGCACCAAAAACUCAAGGAGAAGAUGGUGGCAAAGGAGGACCGUUUCGAAAACAAGGGAUUGGGCGAGGUCAAUAAGGUGGGCAAACAAGCCCUAGAGGAGGGCCGCAACCAGGAGGGGGUACAACUCCUCCCCAGGUAUGACUUGCCUGACAGACGUUUGUGUGUCAAGGAGUGAUGAAUUGUGAAUGUAAACAAGUUUGCUUUGUUCUGUCUUGAGCAGUGUAAGCCUAUUGGUAUCCUUGACCGAUUCGAAUUUCCCCUUCAUUUAGAGUUGAUAUAAAUUCUCCCUUCAUGGUGUGGAAUACUAUCAGUUGCAAUAUAGAAAACUUGGAAUAAAACUAAAAACAGACCAGCAAGCCAAGAUAUGGAGAAGUCAUUUGAGGAACAGUUGAAGAGCUCAGAUAUGAACAUCUUGUACCUGAAUGUGCACAAUCUAAGAAACUCUAGUAUACAAACACAUCCCAUACCUCAAACAUGGCACACCUGUGAAAAACGUUUUGGAGCGCCUGCUCUCCCGAAGAUGAGAUCCCUCUAAAGAAGUACGUUGCGAAUAUCUGCAGCAUCCGAAGGAAGAUAAGCUUGAAGUUGGCUGAAAGCCUGCAGCAUCUGACGAUAAGCUUGGGGAAGAACCAUGUAAACCCAAAGAGGCCACCUCCGAGUCAAAAGAAACACUUCCCGCUAAGAGCCUAUGGUAGCAAAGAAAGGACAUACGAAGAACCUAUAGAGCAAAAUUGAUUAAUCACCGUGAAGAGAAAGAACUGGGAUACCAUUAGUUUUUGCAAGGGUGCCAAGAAGUAGUGUGUAACAGAUUGGUGGCGAAGGAGCUUCAUUCGAACACCACCUCUAAUUGCAACAAACAAAACAUGUUGUGCUUUUCAAAGGAGCUUGUUCAUGUAUGUUGUGAUAGCAGAGGGAUCUCCAAUGUAGAACAUAUCUUCAUAUGGUCCGUUUUGAGCAACAGAGAAAAAAAUUCGUUUAUCAUACGCUUCCUCCUGUGAUCAUCUUCAGACUGCUUCCUCUGCACAAGCACCAAAAUGACCAAAGCCAGGUAUUGGAAAAACAUCAUCAUCUAUCUAUCAAUCAAGCCUUAGAUUUACCCCGAAUGAUGCUCUGUUGGCGUGUGCCUGUGUGUAGGCAGAGGGAUCUAUGAGAGGGGCUGGGAGGGCACAGCGAUCUAGAGGGACUCUUGCAAGAAAUUUGAUAGAUCGGAGCUUGCAUUACCUAAGCCAGGGAUUAUCACCUGGAGUUCAACAUCAGAAUCGAUCGAUCAAAGCCUUGGAUUUACCUUGAGCGCUGCUCUGUCGCGGCGUGCCUGUAUGUAGACAGAGGGAUCCAUAAGCAGCGAUCUAGAGCAAUUCCUCUGAGAAUUGAGGCGAUCAUCUCCGUGCUGCCAAUGGAACCGCGCCUGGGAUCAUUGCCUAGAAUUUCGACAAAAUAUCACGAAUCUUUCCAUCAAGCCUUGGAUUGCGCUGCUCGGUUGGGCACCACAGCUGUGGAGCUGCCAUGGUUGCUUUGCGCUAGCCCUGAAAAUUUGAAUGAAGCGGGAAGAAUACUUAAUGAGCUGGACGGCAACGUGGCGGUGACGUGGUCAGCUUCUGGAGCGCGAAAAAGCCUUGCGUUAUACUUUCGGCCUCGGAGAAGCGCCUUGAUACUUUCCCUUUAGUAACACUAUUUAGUCGUGAUCAGAGAAGAGCUUUCUCAAGAAAUAGUACCUCUGCUUGAGAUUCCAGUCAAUCUCUCGCCUUCCGUGCUUUCCCUGAAAUGUGCAGCGAAUGGCAGUCGAUCAAUCCUCAUCCUGUUGCUAACAUCUUUUCCUCUAGCACAGGCGAAACCAUCGCUGUACCGGCGUAUCUUGGGGUCUUACAGCAUUUGCCUCAGCCUUGCAUUCCUAGGAAAGAAACAUCUAGAAAUAAAUCUCAGAAUUUAAGGUGGAAGUAAGCUAGCGAAACGCUAUAAGGAUUUACAGAAGCGCAAACAAGAAUGCUGGCCUGUAUAGCUCUCCUUGCAGAAUUUGCCUGUAAUGGGCAUAAGUUUGGAGGCUUUGUGUUUGUUUUCCUUGUCAAGGCACAUUUUCUUUCGAUGGGCAUUUAUGUUUCUUUGAUGGCUGCACUGCUCUUCUAUUUGUUGCUACAUUUGGUGUCGCAGGUUCUAAUGACUGUAACUGGUUUUGCUUAUUUAUUUAUUUUCUUGACUUCUAGAAGAAUCUCUAUCACUGAAUAAUGUUUUCUUUUUAUCAAGCCGCUGAUUUUUUCCCACGAAUGCAUGAUGCCUGACUGACUUCGGUCUUUCUUUCGUUCUUUGUUCCGAGCAGGCCUUUCUUCGACAAGGCUCUUGACCGAUGAAGCAGAGGAGCUGCAGCUGAUUCCAGGACGUCAUAAUUUCAGUGUAAGAACUCUUGCAGUUUUCUUGCGGCUCGAUCUUAGCCCUGAAUUGUAUGAUGCAGCAUUUGUAUUCGCUCAUCAUCAAAAGCCGUGAUCAGCACGUUUGGUGGUAUUUGCAGAAUGGUUUCGCGGACGAAUUGUUGGCACUGAAGAAGAAAGAAGGAAGAUAAUCUAAAUAGGUGUUUGCAAUCAUGUUAAUUCUUCCUGCAAAGUGGAAUUUGAGGGUGGACUUUGCUCUUCUCUGGCCUGUACACAGUCUCGCAUUGGGCUCAAUGUCUGUCCAAAAUACAUCAUAUUGACAAGAGUCUAUGUUCUCGAGAAGUGUGAGAAAUCAUCCUCUCCUCAAAGAUUUCUUCCAGGUAGAUAUGCAAUGUUCCUUUGCUGCCAGCGUCUGGAGCUUGCUCCUGCAAAGCUUGCAUUUGUUUGCAGAAAUCAUCACUGUCGACAUCCGAUGGAAUACGUUUUUGCCACUUCUCGAUCAUCAUCUCAAGCUCCUGCCUGUUGUCUUCCAGCUCUUGGAGCUCCUUCUCGUCGUUCAAGGCCGCUGCUUGUAACUCCUCCACCUUGGCCUGACACUGCAAAAAUUCUUUGUUCCUCGUGAAAGCUGAGGCUGCUGCUGGAACCAAUGAGCAUUGCUCGCGUUCUUCGUAAGGCACACUUGCAAAUCUUGGAACUUCGAAUGUUCUAAAAUAGAGGAAAAACUUUAAACUUGUGAGAAACGAAAACUUUGAUCUUACCUCCGUGAUCCAAUAAGAACUUGGCCUUUGUCACACCUUCCCCCGUCGAGAGAUACUGCUUGGCACGACAAGCUCAUCUCGUUCCACGCAUUUAGCAUGUUUUCCUCCGUGUUGUAGACUUGUAGCUUCCGGAAAACAUGGUAGAACAAGCUCUGGCGCAGCUCCAAGUGCUCGGGUCUCAAGUAGAGAAAGUUGACUCCAUAGCCCAAGAAACCAGCCGGGAUUUCGCCAUUGGAUAGAACAGGCGGUGGAAUGUUAAGGAGCUUCUGAGGAUGUUGAGCAUCUACCGCUGCAUUCCCAUCCUUACGCUUGUAUUGCCUGGUGAAGAACAAGAUCACAGCUAAGUUUUGCUCGAUGGGUGACAACUUACUUGAUUGCGUCGAUACGAAAUACUGGAAAGUUCUCUGGAAUCCAGAGCUUGUUGCUGCGAACAAACGCUGAAAAGGCCGUGGAGUUGUCCACGUUUGCAUCAGAGCUUCUCAGCCAUCGUAUGCUGAAACGAGCACAAACACACACACAAAACGUAAGAAAAACAAAACACGUGAAGGAGAAAAAAUAAUCUAGGAAGGAUUACCUGUUGAUUUCAUCCUUUUCAACCCGAGCAAGGAGAACAAUCGGCCCCAAAAUGUCAUCCAAAGGAAAGCCUAUCGGUUUCAUCUCUUGAGCCGUGUACAGCGCCAAUGCCGGAGAAUUCUCCUUGUGAACCAAAGUCUUGAGCUCGUUUAAGAUGUCGCCCUCCGUCCUUUGAGUUUCAUUUCCUUCGCAGAGCAAAACCUCAUCAUCGUUGGCAGCUCGUCGAUGCUCAUAAACACUCAACAAGCUUGCCUGAGCCCGCUUCAGCAAGUCUGAAGAAAAUAUUCACUUAAGGCGGACAAGCAAAAGAACUCUUCUACCUGUAUUACGACCCAAUGACUCUUGGGCCGCAUACAACUUAUUUGGAAGAUUUUUGAGAGCUUUAUGGCAUUCUUUCAGGCCACUGCCAAUACUUUUGAUCAUCUGAAAAAGAUAACGUAAGGGGCAAAUACACAGCUAUAAAAAAUGAUAUCACGUACCGUUUCGGAUUGUUCUACAAUGUACUGGUACAAGUGCUUCUCCACUUGUUCGCGAGAAUAGUUGCCUCGAAGAACAGCCAAACGAGAAGUAGCACUCUUGACGUCGUUAAACUCGCCUCCAAUAGCACAUACCUUGAACGUAAACAACUCUGGCAUGAUUUCGAGAUCACUGAAAGUAGCCUGCCCAUUUAUUGCGGUCAUGCAGCAGAUCGCAGGCUUGGCAGCGCGCUGCAGCGUGAGAGUGCCACGAAGUGAGAUCUCUCGACAACCGAAGCACCUGUUGUCAUGAAUAUCCACGACGUCCACCACCACCACGUCGGUAUUUUCCUGCUCCAUGUUAAACUUGAGCCUAUACGGCCUUCCAUGGACCACGUUAAGCUGCCACUUGAUCGGGGUCACUUCGUCGCUGCCUUCGAGCACAAACUUGAGGACGUAUGGUCCUGCUCUCGCCAGUACCACCAGGCCUUGGAAAAUAUAGACAGAUGCUUCGUCGUCUCUCUCUCCAGACUUGGUCGAGCAGUUCUUCCCGAGCGGAUCCCAGACCGAGAUGGUGAGCUGCUGCAAGGCCUGUAGGGGGCGACCGUCUUCACAUUCCACCAGAACCCGCAUUUCCGGCACGACUUGCUGCUCGUCAUCCCUGUCCGAGAGUGUGAGUUCACGAGGAGUCUCGCCGAGGAGCCGCAGCAGCGUUGGAUUGUUUCCAGGAGUGACUUCCAACGGGACCGAGACUUGCUUUGAAGAUGCUCUGAUCACCAAGUUGUAGACGCCCAGCGGCAUGUCCAGAAGCUUUGAAAUGCAGCAAAACCAUCCGUCGCGUAUGCCACUUUCUCAAGUCUUUCACAAGUGUCUGGAACGAUGAUCUCUAGAGAAACUUCUUUGGCUUUGUAGCCGCUGUUACAAACGUUGUCCUUGUGAUCCACCAGACAAACUUGUAGCUCCGGAAAAAAGCUACGCCUGCAAACCGAGAACCGGCGGCCCGCAUCAGCUGUCAUGAGAGCUUUGAGCAGCUCGUUACGCUUUCCACAGAAUGGGACCAAUCUGUGAACGUCUCCACAGCCAAGAUACACUCUCCAGUUCAAAGUUUGCAUAGCGUUCUUCAACGUGACGACGUAGAAGCCUUCUUUUCCGUCGAGGACAACCCUGAGGCUGUACUUCAUGUCUUCUGUACUUGAAAUUCUUCUGCUGAGCAGCACAUUCUCAUCGGUGAGGUAGUCUUCCUCGGGAAACACCUCCACUUCCAUCUGCAAAAGUGAAAAAUAAGUAUUUUUGCAUGGAUAAGUUCUUGGGUGAGAAAACAAGGAGCCAACAAAACGACCUGUUCGACGAUUUCAUUGCUCAGAAAUCCAGGAAGGUUGAGCUCGUCGCGGGCUUCAAACUUGAAAGCUAUUUCUUCCCCACAGCCUCCGGCAAUUACUUGUUCUUCAUAAACAGGUUUACAAGCAGCCGCCAGUUCAACUUGAAUCUGGAAAGAUCCAAAGGUGUUCAUAAUUAUGAAUGAAACAUGCUUGCCGUAGUACCUCGAAAGCUAAGCUCAUAAGUUGAUAGUCCGAGUGCCAUGCUCGUCCUUCCCACAAUCCAGGAGUCUUGGCAUAGUGAGUCCCCUUAGCUGACACUGUCCCUUGUUGAGGACAUAGCAAAUGUCUUUGUCCCAGCUCAUUGAGAUUGUGCCUCCUAUUGCUGUGUCGACGUUACCAUCUUCGUCCACAACAUGAAUGUUGAGUCCGGUAACUUCCCGUCCAAUGUAAGAUCUUUUUUGUUGCUGAAAUCAAAUACAGUUUCGCUUCUCGGAUGAAAAAUGGAUAGGCAUAUUGUGCUCACCUCAGAUGCAAAUUUCAAGGUUCGACUAGCGCCCUUGAAAACUAUUUCGAACAUUACGAUGUCGUCCUCCGAAGAAAGAACGAUGGAACCUGAAAACCCAUAAUGAAGCAGCAUUUUAGCUUUGCAUCAAAACAAGCACCUGUCAUGUUGUAUUCCUUUGCGACUCUGAGUUCGCUCAAGCGAACAAUGCCGGCUCCAUCAGUUUCGACUUCUUGCUGUGAGAGGUGUACGCCAGAUAGCAUCCGAGUUCCCUGCCUAACGGAGUUUCCCCAUUCGUCGAAUCCCUGCAGCUUUAGAAUCUACAUUAAUAUGGUGCAAUGACAAGAACAGUGCCUACCUUGAACACCAUGCACGGGAAGUAACAGUCUGGAUCCAGUGGUUGCUUGACGCAAAACAUCGAUCCAGAAGGAGGGAGCUCGAGAGAGCUAUUCACAAGCUCCAGUCGUGCAAGCUUGCCAGGAUAAACUGCGGAAGAAAAACAAAUCAUCAUUGAGGUAGAAACAACCGAAGCUAUCAAGAUGACAGCUGAUAACCUUGACAUCUCCAGUGUCCAAGCUUCUGGUUUCCAACGUAGAAGCAUAGACGAGCGUCGUGAGCCGGCAGUAUGCAGCCCCGAACUAUGAAGUUCUGUGGAGCAGACAUUAUAAGCAAAUCCAAAAAGAGGUUUGAGACUUACUCCGACAUUCAUUUUGUCCUUUUGGGGAAAGCUCAUGCUCUCACGUCCAAGCGAAACUGUACUAAGCCUCGUGCUCUCCAAUGCCUCGAGAACCAUGCACACAUUCGAACAAGGCUGUGAGAAUGGCACCAGAUUGUCGUAGGUGUCAAAUCCCUGAACAGUAAAGUUCUGCGUUACUAGCUCCUCCAAGCUGUAGAAUUUAGAACAUAGAUAGUAGUUAAUAGCAAUAAAAGAUAAGCUUACGUACGUAAUCCCGGUGCAUGCCUCGGUAUCAAUAUGCCAUCUGGAAACGGACCCCAAGGAUUUGAUAUUCACCUCCCAAACUGCUGGCUUAAGGUCCGGAUGCCCAUCAAUCGAGAACUCCACCUUGUACUUCCCAGCCUUGCAAAGAUCUGGAAAGAUUGUGCCCGAAGCGAAUGCAUAGAUCCCCUUGAUAUCGUUUAUGGCUUCAACCUCCGCGUAGUAGCACCAUUGCAUCUUCGUCUCCUCACGAUCUUUCGACGAGAAAUGCACUUCGGCCUUCAUCCGGGGGGGGGGGGGGGGUCUGCAACAGUCACCGAUUGCUUGCAACUCGUUCCAGCGCCUUGCUGCGUACGCACCACGACCAGAAACGAGUCGAUUUGGAGCACGUAUCCCGCUUCGAACGUGAGGUUACUCCGAUGCAGAUGUUUCCCCCCAAACACUAGCCUGUCGUCGUUGUUGAGAAGCUCUAUGAAUGCCGGCAGCUUUCCCUUCAGCCGAUUCUCCUGUGUAUGCCACUCACUUGGAGUCAUGCAGUGGCACUUCUCCGAAUUCAGAACGCUACAAGGGAACCACCUGCACCUGUUGAGCUUGAAGCUGCAAAUCUGUGCCGUCUCAAUCUUGCUCUCUUCUUCCAUAGUCAGCAGUUCCACGGGCCUGCAAACCAUCUUCACUUCCCCGUAUUGUUCGUCGAGUCCAUCGCAGAAGACCCACUCGAUGACACCGUAGAAAUUGAAAGUUAGUCCUAUCAUUGAAAUGGUUCUAGUGGUGUUAUUGGAUGAAGCUCUUGAGUUUGUUUCUUUGGUGUGUACUUGGUUCAUUGACAAAUGUUGCAUUCUUGACAAAAGUUUGCUGAGUCGUGCCAAAGUGUUGAUCACCAAAGUUUUGGUGUAAAACAGAUGUAGAGUAGGAUUUACUUUCUUUUGAUGAGGUUUGUUAAGCUCAAAAGAUUAAACUAUGUAUUCGAAGGCUUCACGAUGGGUUUAAGAAUUUUAUAUCAUUUGUUGAUGACUUGCUUUUUUGGCAUUUACAUUUUUAAUAUCACCUUGAGGACAGUCUUCUUUAUUUUCUGAGAAUAGAUCUUGAUGAUCAUUUAUAAUUGGUGGUGCCUUCAAUCUUUAUUCCAUACUUUCUUUAUACUUACAAUAAUUCUCCUAUUCUAGGUGGGUAUAUGGGACAUUGUUGUGUGACCUUGAAGUUGCAUAGAUUUUUUUAUUAGUCAGAGAUGCAACGUGGGGUUAUCUGGUAUGUGUGUAGCUGCAUUUGGUGCCAAGCUCAUAAUACUUCUCUUUGUACUACAGAAGGACAAUUUGAGUCAAUUAUAGUUUCUUGUUUGUUUGAGUUGGUGGCAUUUGAUUUGAUGGGACCUUUUCCAUGAUUGACUGCUAGCAAUGAGUAUAUCAUUAUUGUUUAUGACUACUUAACUCACUAAGUGGAAGUCGGUGCUUUUGCUAGUGUGUCAGCAAUUAUUGUUGAAUACUUCUUCCUCAAUUGAGUGGUGUUUUAACAUUUAUGUCUGUAGUAGAUUCUUUUGGAUAAUGAUCCCACAUUUAUGAUUAAGGCAUUUCACAUUUUGACGUAUCAGUUGGGGAUGUGCUACACUUUCAUGAGUGCUUAUCAUUCACAUUCAAACUAUUUAGUGGAAUAGCUCUUUCGGACAUUCAAAUGGAUGAUUGUGAAAUACGUGAACUUUCAGCAUUUGGAUUGGGAAGGUUAUUUGUUGUCUCUUUGGUAUACAUAUAUCACAGAAGUGUAGAGUUCUAUUAGUGCUUCACUAUAUAAACUUCUAUAUAGUCAUGAUCCAAUACUGCCAAAGGGGUUAGGUUUAUCUUUGUGAUUGCUGCAGACUGCUGAUGCUAAAUCAUGAGAUCAGUAUUUGAUGAGCAUUCUUCCAUUUGUCCGAGUAGAGUUUGUUGAACAUCUGGGUUGCAUAUAAAUGGGACAAUAACAACACUAUAACUCCCAUUAUUAUUCAUCUGCAAAGUACAAAGUGGAUGAUUUAGUGUAAGCCUAUUUUCCCCAUCUUAUAGUAGAUGCUCCUUGCUCAGUGGAAAAGUCCAUAUCAAGUGUUCUGGCAAAUUUGACUGCAAGUUUAUGAGGUUCAGUAUAACAUCCAGUAGGCCAAUCCUCUAGAAAUUGUGCAUAUACACUUUGUACAAAGGGAUUAAGAACAAUUGGCACCACCUACAAAUUCAUCGAUGCCUCUUCUUGAUGUUUUUCUAGAUCCCAACCCAUCUAUGAAAGAACUCUGACAAUCUUCUAAGGGAUCUGAGGUUAUGAUAUUGUAUACUAAUAUUAGCAUAAUGGAAUUUUGGUAGGUAUUGGAUUGGUUUUAAUCCAAAUUACUCACUCCUGUAUAUAAGCUAGGGGGAUAAUUGAUAUGCACAUUUCCUGUAUUCUUAUUCCAUGCAUUCACAAUAUUAUAAUUUUAUUUUAAUAAUAUUUAAAAAUAUAAUAAGAAAAUAUGAUUGCUGAGAGUGGCUGCAGGGGCAUUCCAGCUCUUUGGGCUGGUGGUUCUACAAUAUGGAUGAGUUGAGUGUGUCAAGUGGAAGAUCUGGACUCUGGGUUCCAGUCCUGGAGGUUUUCUUGCACCUCUUCAUCACUGCUGACUAUUUCACGCGGCAGUGAGGUUGCUCCAACCAGCAAAGUUACAGUGGCCCAACAGUAUUGUCUUUUGUGCUCCUUUGCUACUACAUUACACACAAGCUUGAAGUGGUGAGUUAUCAAGAUUUCUUGUGGCAAAGCGGUAAAAGAGCAUUUAUUUCUUGGUUGCAGCUCAUUCGGAUGCCAGCCACUGAAGUGAUGUAUUUGGCAGAAGGAAUUACAUGUAUGGCUUGUCUCUUUUCCUUUUCAUUCCUAACCAGCCGUCUGUGCAGAUCUUGUGUCACUCAUGUCUAGAGUUCCCUGUACUUUCUCAGCGUGAACUUGUCUUCUGGAUGCCCUUCUCCUGUUUGAUGUGAGCAAGCAACUCUGCGUGCUCUUCUUCGCGUGGCUGCACCUCCAGGUCCAAGCAAACAAGCAGCCGCACGAAUGGCUUGACGCUUUCAUACCUCAAGCCAAAGCUGGCAGCAGGGGGUACCUGGGCAAACUCUUGCUCUGCUUCCUAGACACCGUGCAUGCAUACAGGUUUCAGGAAUUCUUUCUGCCAACCAGGGAGAACAUCGACAACGUCUAUAACGUUUGGUUCAAGGAACUCCUGGUGGUAGAUGGCAAUGGAUCGAUCUCACCCCCGGCAUCUGCCAGGUGGUGGAGGUAAAAUCCUUAGCUCAGAGACAGGCUUCUUAUUUGUUUUUUUUUUUUUUUUGUUUUUUGGCAGGAGGUGGUGGCAGCAGUGACUCACACAUUCGAGUGGGACCAAAGCCUUGUUGUACCUCUGGAGUGCUGGGUUCGAAGGAGCUCGCUCGUUUACCAGUACAGGCCUCGCGAGGUUUCAUACUAUAUGGACUUUAAGGAUGCAAGCUUGCAAAUUGGCCGUCUGAUCUACACUUGGACACUGACGAAAAAGGGGCAGCGCGACCAAGCUCCAGACGCUGUGCUCGACGGGCAAGUCGAUCGUGGAGAACGCACAGUCGGUGACAGCGGGAAGCAGCGACGAGCGCCAGCUCUACCGUGCCGCCCCUGCCGUUUUCGGCAAGGAUUUUAGCGGCCAUUUCGUGCAGCUGUGCAGGAACGCGCAGUGGGAGCCGGAUGGGGUCCCUUGCUUGCAAUCCGAGCUGGGAGAAAUAAGGGGCUGGCAUGGAGAGGGCUGAUUUUAGUCUUCAACUUCCAGCAGCAUUACUUUGACGACGGCCAUAAACAAAUGGACGUUCGGUGGCAUGGUCGUCUACAUUGUUCACGUAUGCACACUCUUUUCGUUGGAAUGUGUUUCUGAUUGUUUCCUUUUAUCUUGUGUGUUGUUUUGCGCAGCUGAUAUUUGAGGAUCACUUGGCCCUAGACAUUGAUCGCAAAGCGUCACAAGAAUGUGAGUGACAUGAAUUAUCUAUCUUUACUUGGUGGAAGUAUUUACUAAAGCUGUUUCUGUAGGCACGGUGGCUCUAAAUAGUCACCCAAACCUUGAUACAAUCUGGAGCAAGAGAGGCAUUUUUAUUGCAUCAGAUGCGACUAAGAAGAGGUGUCUAACUCUUGAGAAGUUGAUAAACUCUCCCAAAAUACAGGGGGCUCUGGGAGCUGGCGCUGAUGAAAUAGGCAAUGCUAUGGUCAAGGCGAUUGUAGUUGGUGGUAUCGGGAACACAAAGAGUUAUGGUUUAAAAUGGCGAAAAGGCUCAUAGCAUAUGCAAUUUCCAAAGGAAUAAUUUAAGAAUAUAUUCUUCUUGGGUGCAUGGAUCUGAAUGCACUUACUAGACAACUAUUGGACUUGAGUUGCAACGAGAGUGCCACCACCUGGCUUCCAAAAUCACCUGGUCCAGUCAUUGGGCAGCAUGCCAAGAGAGGCCUUUAAAAUACAGCCAAGGGUUAGGGUUUUAGCAGGGACAACCCAAUGCUGGAGAUAUGGCGCGAUCUAUGCCGGGAAUGCUUUUCUUUGCUUCCUGGAUCAGGGCGUGGAAGCGAAUGUGAUUGAGAGUAAAAUGGGCGACGUCAUCCGGGCAUAGCAGAAAAAGAAAAGUCCGAACUUAUGGAUGUCGCCAGCAUUCCUAUUUAAGUUCAUAUAACGUUCGCUAGCUUACUUUCACAUUGAAUUUGAGCCCAGAUGAUGAGAUUUCUUAGGAGAUUUUCUUGGCUUUCCGAGGAAGAAACUUUCUAGCAUCGACAAAAACAGAGAAAUGCCAGCUGAGGCAAAUGCCGUAAAACACUACGACUCGAUGUAAAAACAUCCACUACUCGCUCGAUCAAAAUCCCUGAUCCUGGGUCCUUGACUGUCCCAGUGAAGACAGAACCAAGCUCUACCUCCCAGUGGGAACGACAGAGCUACGAGAAUGCCUGUGCGUUUAUCUAUGAGCAAAUGCCACUCUUCUAUACUCUUUGAAUUUUCCAUUAACAAGUAGCCAUGAAAACUAGGGCUUUUGUGGCGCUCCCAGAGCAGGGAGUUCUUCUCUACUACAAGUUCGUCACGCUGCCGGAUCCCGAAGCGACCAGGGACUGGUUCGAGCGAUCGUGUUCUUCGCUGGCGCUGCUGGGGAGGAUACGGAUUGCGCCCGGGGCGUCAAUGUCACGGUAUGUGAGUGGCAUUCUCUGGAAAUUCUUUGUGUUCUCACGGAUUCUUGCUAGGUCGGAGGCAGCAUGGAAUCGCUGAGGGAGCACAUCGAUGCUGUUGCGAGGCAGGAGCUGUUCCAGGGAUGCGAUUUCAAGCUCGCUGCGUGCUCCCGGCCUAUGGAUCGCGAUGCCGCUGCGAGCUGUGGUUUUGAUUCCUUGUCCGUUCGUCUGGUUGAGGUAAUUCUUUUCUCGCAAGUUCUUGCUCGAGCAAAGCUUUUUUCGUUUUUUCGGCUUUUUAGGAAAUCGCGUGACGCUUGGUGUAUUCCCUUCUCCAUCGCUUGCAAAUGCUGGGAAGCAUCUAUCGCCAGAGCAGUUCCAUGGAAUGCUCGACCAAGCAGGUUUUGGUUGUUUUCUUUCCAACUUACAAGAUUUUCAUUCGUGCAGGGAGCUUGAAACAAAGCAACGCUGCCCCCCAAGAUACGCCAGUACAGUGACUUGCCUGCUUGGAUAGACGAGCGCGCGGAGCAAUUGCGCAACAAAUCAGUACUGAUGUAUUUCUUUCUAAGUCGUUUCUUUCAUUCAUUGUGUUAUAUGCUUUUGCAUUUGUUGCAGGUAUUUCACUGGAGGUGUCCGGUGCGAGAUGGCUUCUGCUUACAUUCGUAGCAAAGGAGAGGAAUUCGAGAACGUCUACCAGGUUGUUUGGUUUUCUCCUGUUUGUACGGUGGAUUCUAACCUCGUGCUACGCAGCUUUCUGGUGGCAUUCAGCGGUAUCUGGAGGCAUUUCCUGAAGGAGGAUACUUCCAUGGGAAGAACUUUGUUUUCGAUCAUAGGUAGUGCAUGCAUCACUCUUACUCGGAAGCUGAUAAGCUUUGGCUGGCAGGAUAUCAGUUCCAUCGCUACAAGAUAAAACUGUUGGCUGCUGCUAUAGUUGCAAAUCUCCCUACGAUGACUAUACUCCACGGCUCCGUUGCUCCAUGUGUCGUAUGCUGGUACUUCUAUGCGAAAGUUGCAAGGUAAUUCGUAUAUGAUCUUUGUCUUCUCUUUACCUUGCAUUGUGCUUUCAGGCGUCAGUGCCUUAUCUCUGCGAGCUGUGCGCUGCUAAUCAGCAUUCUAGUGAACCAGUAGAAUCAGGACGUGAUAAAUGUGAGUGCUUGUCAAAUUUUGAUAGCAGACAUAUGACCCACCGUGAACAGGCUCGAAGUUAAGGAUACUGUGCUUGCACGGCUUUCGUCAAAACGCAUCAAACUUGAAGGGCAGGCUCGCAUCGCUGUCGAAGAAACUCAGACGUACAGCCGAGUUCGUCUUCAUAGAUGCUCCUCACGAGCUUCCGCUGCUCUAUCAACUUCUCGAGGACGAAACGAGGCAAGAACCUACAGCCCAGCCGCACAAGAAAUUCGCGUGGUUAACCGAUCCGGAUGGUCCGAAGGCUAGCACACAAACGUGGACUCCAGUACAGAAGUCUUUCAAUCCCAUGCAGUACCAAAAGCAAACGUCGGGUUGGAGCGAGAGCUGGGAGUACCUGGGACAAGUAUUGGCUGAUCGCGGGCCAUUCGAUGGCGUUCUCGGGUUCUGGCAGGGAGCGGCCGUGGCUGCCAUACUUUCUUCACUCAAGGAUGCUGGACUGAUCGACAUCAAGUUCGUCGUGCUGUGCUCGGGGUUCGUUUCGCCGGUGCUAGAGCAACAGGUGUUGGGAGGAUUGAUCGACUGCCCUUCGCUGCACAUUUUCAGUGGGAAAACUGGCUAUGACCGGCAAAUCUCUUGCACGGAAAGCGAGAGAUUGGCUGGGAAGUUCAGGCCUGACUCUCGAAUGGUAGUUCGUCAUGACUCGGGGCAUAUAGUUCCCACUCGACCGGACUACCUCGAACAGUACUCCGAGUUUUUCAAGCAGUUUCUAUGACUUGUCUUUAAAGUUCGGACGAGGAUUGUGACGAACGCCUGCCCGCGCCCCGCAAGUUGGUCGAGCUAGAGAUUUUUGGAGCGAUCGUAUGGAUUGCGUACGGCCAGCCCUGUCUCUCCAAUCGUGCCUGAAGCAGGCGAAGAUGAUCGCACAGAUGAUGCUAACAAAUCUACAUCGAUCCAUAAAUUUCAGUGUGUCUUAUAGUUGGCAUCUUAAUGUUUGACACAGUAAAUACUGGUAAAUAUGAAUUAAUAAUUGCUUAAAAGAUUUUAAAAUUUGUGAGGUCCAAGCACGAAAAGGCCUUGGAAUUGGAACUGAGUCCCUCUAGCACUAGCUUUGUAUUAAUCCAUUUUAUGGCAAAAUAUGCCUCUCCACAAGACUAUUCAAUCCAAUGUCUGAGAUUUAAGACUAAAUUGUUUGAGGGUUUGAGCCAUAAAAAAGGAAAUGCUCCAUAAAUUUGAAGUCACUGUGGUCGACCGUUCCCCGCCAAAAGUAUGCACGUCCAUGUCUGCAUGCUUGUGAAGCAAACCUACGAGAACAAUUUCGGCAUCGAAGUUGAGACCGAGUACUAUGUGGAUCGACUGUCUAUAAAGGAUCAGAUUGUGAGGGACAACAGCAACGAUAAUGACCCUUUGACGACGCACCAGACGAGAACACUGUGUCAUACACUGGCAACAAUGGCGGCGGUGUCAGCUCUUUCUACCACACCGCUGCUCUGGUGGUGUGGCCCAAGGAUUGCAGAAUGGAGGCGCUAUGCUACAACAGUGAAAGUGUACUGAAGUGGCUCGAGGAGCAGCACAAAUGCGAGCCUGGCCGGACGAAUGGGGAUUUGGAGCGAUACUUGACAAGUAAAGUGGGGUACAAGACGCAUUUUGAAAUUCUGCCAGAUUUUUGCGUCAAGCACGACUGUCACGACGCAGCCUGCUUGGUCAUGAAGAAGUGGGGGAUGACGCAUGGCAACAGCAGCACAGGGUAUGGUUUCCGUACACUUGGUUCCUUUCCCGCUAGCAGCUUGGUCCAAGUAGCUAAAAAGUGGGGAGAGAGCAGCUUUCCUCACAUGGAAGAGUUUUGGGAGAAGACAUUGAAUUGAAGAAGCUUUGUGGGAGAGACAAGCAGAGAAGCCCUACCCCGACAAAAGAUAUGGGCCCUAUGGAAAAUAUUAUUAAGUCAACUUUGCACAGCGAAAGGAAGGAAAAGCUGGCUAAGCUCCAGCACGAAGGAAGGAGAAGUUUUCUGGGAAGGGUGUUGUGACGCUCGAAUCGGAUGUCACUGCAAUGGCUUUGGGAAGGAAGAGAUUCAUCAACGAUGUUGACCUGAAGAAAUCUAUGGCAGUGAGAUUAACAGUGCUGAUGCGCUUGUGCUGCUCUUGUGAGGAAACUGGAAGAUUAAUUGGGGGCUCUUGGUUAAAAUGAAAGAAGCAGCCGGGCUGUUUGGCUUGAAGAAGGAUGAAAAGGUGACGCAGCUCUUCUCGGAACUUUUGUCACGAGCACUGAAAUAUAGUAGUCACAACAAGAAACUGGCUGAAGUUGCAAUUUGGCUGGGCAAUGAGGAAAUGGUGAAAGUUGUAGUAAAGUAUGCGAGAAGUGGUAAUUUUAACGAUGAAAAAGACGAUAGCAGCUUGAUUGAGAGUGCCAAGACAUGGGACGAUGUUGCUAGAGACGGGUUGAAGAAGGUGAUCAAUGCUAAAAUUUGCUACUUUUUGGGCAAUGGAGAUGAAGAGGUGAGUUGCAGCGACAGGAGCGAUGAUGAAGUAGAUGAAGAAGACGAGGAGAAAGAAGAAGGAAACAAACGAUGCAAACUAAACCCGAGGGCUGAGCGUGUCGAAUAUGAGCAGAAAAGGAUAGAAAACUAGGGUGCCACGAUCUGGAGACUGCGUAAGCUCUUGAACAAUUUUGCUUGAUCCUUCAAACAGCAUAUAAUAUUGCAGCACUUGCAAUAAGAUUCUCAAAGGCUGAAGUGUCGUUAAGUAAAACUCCAUUGAGGAAUUGCGCAACGACACAUCUGCGCAUCGGAUCUCGGCCUCCGGCCAAGUGAAGAAGAGUUUUGCUUGCAGAAAGAAGCCAUCUGCUGUUCAAACGCACUGAGCUCGUCAUCCCAUCUCGGUAGGCACAAUAUCAAAAGCCGGAGCACAACUCUCUAGUGUCGUUUGUAAAUAGGACUCGGUUGCCGUCACUUUCGAUUUCUGGAAGUGCUUGCAUUAUAUAGAGAAAUCCCACGAGAUCCAUACUGUGAAUCUGUGAAGCUUACAUAAUGUAUUGGCAAGUAAAAUUGCAAGUGAUCAUAAGCACACUAUAUGACGAAACCGUGCUAGCGAUCAACGUAAGCAUCUGGACUGUAGAUGCAGCCUGGAAGGGACUGUUUCAGAAUCUAAGCAUCUGGCUAGAUUGUUGAAGUUUUGGAUUAUGUUAUCGACUUGGAAACUUGUAGGGAGCCAGCCUGUGUCUAAGGCUGGAUUUGUUGCUCCUCUUGGUCCUGCUCAACUGCCAUGGGCUCCUGUUCUGAUAAGAAAACUGCAUUACUAACCUCGUGUUGGUAUGUUUCAGAUGAUCUAGUUGCAUGCUUGACAUACUUCAACAACGCCUUGGCGCCUUAGUUGCACCUUUUCUUUUGAGAGCAUGCAAAGAACAUCUUCAAGCUGUCAUGACUAUAGUUGAUUAUGGAUUCUCGAGAGUUGAUUCUUUCUGUUCUUUCAAUACUGUGAGAAUCAGAUAAACACAUAACCAUUAUAGUUGACUCUGGAUUCUUGAGAGUUGAUUCUUUUUGUUCUUUUAAAACUGUGAGAAUUGCGAUUGACUUUGUUGUUGUAAAAAGAAAAUCCGUAUAAAUAAAAUGACUUUUAUGUAUAAAACAUAGCAUUAUUUAACUGCAAUGCAACAAAAAGGAAGUGGAAAGCUAUCUCGCUUCUUUGCUUGCAGCCAGCUCAGCAAGUCUUUUGAAAAAAAACUAACUUUGCGAAGAAGUGAUGGUGAUUUCGAUUUUUCUGGACACGAAUACCUUCGGAUUUCGAAUUCAGUGUUAAAAAAACACAGGCAUAGAAUAUUUUACAAAUAUCCAAUUCUUAUGCCCCACAUGGGGCAUCAUGCCCAUAGCAAUGACCCAUGCUAUGUAUGGAAUGGAGCCAUUCAUGGCCAAUAAGCCCAUGCAUUCUAGCAAGUUGUUAAUGUUGCAAACCAAAUGGACAAUCAACCAAAUUCCAUACCAUAUUACCUUAUCUAGGGCAUUAUGUUUUCACAUCUUGCUUUUGGCAUUCAUGGCAAAAGAAUUGAAUUAUCCUUUUUUGGCACACCUCUUUUAACAUAGUGUUCAUAAUAAAUGUAAGUGAACUUUAUUUAGCUCCAUUGCAAAGCCAUGGAUAUAUAUUGUCUGGAGUAAUGUCUCUAAUACAUUUUAUUGAGUUUAUCCUUCGUUACCAUUGAUUUCCAGUAUAGUUCUCUCAACAUAUUAGUUUUGUACCAUGAUGCUUAGAAGAUUUGCAUAUGACUCAAAAGUAGGUUGAAGUCUAACCAAUUCGAUGAAUUGGUGGGGCUCAUACUUCAAUUGUGUACUACGCAAAGGUGCAUAGUGUUGAUGUUUAGACUUGGAAUUCUCUCAAGAAGAGCAUGUAGAAGGAGAUUUGAGAAUGUGGAAGUUGCAAUUGCAUGCAAUAACAUUCAGGAUAACAAUAGACACUUUCAACAUUUUCCAAUUAUAAUUGUUUCAAAUUGAAUCUGGAGUUCUCUCAAGAGGAGCUUGCUGAAGGAGAUUUGAGAAUAUAGAAGUUGCAAUUGCAUGCAGUAACAUUCAGGUGAGAAGAGCAAUAACAAUAGACACUUUCAACAUUUUCCAAUCAUAACUAUUUCAAAUUUUAAAAUUUGUAAAAAGGGUUUCCAAGUAUGGGGCAAAAUUAUCCAAUGUAUACUGUAUGCUGUGGCUGAAGAACUAGAGUUUUCAGGGAUUGGAAGCUCAUGCUCACUUUGGUAAGAGUAGAUUUGUGAUGGUUUCCUAUAUGCUCUAACCCUUUUGCAAUGUUUGAGGUUUUUGGGUUUCCUCAUGGCAUGGCAAAUUGGAGAGGAUUUUAUGACUUCUUUGAGGCACAACAAUGGAUCCAACAAGGGACAAAAUUGAGGAUUCUAUAUGAUGUUUCCUCCUUUCAAGGCUCAACAAUCCCUCUGACAAGGCAACCCAAAACUACUUCUAAUGUUGUGUUAAUCACCGAGGGGAAAAGUCCCGCUAAAGAAAGUGAUAGUAAGGGAUAUAUUACUGCUCAAGAUGCAAGCGAGGACAAGUUCACAGACCUAGAGGGUGAUUUUAGUUCUACUAUGAAACAGGUUGAGAGUUCCUCAACCGAGGAUGGGCAUCAUAUAGCACCCAAGCUCGAUAGUUUUGACCCAGAUCUUAAAUUGGGAGCUGCUUUGGAAGCUAUAAUGAUUACCCUUGGUGAGGCAAGCAUAAGCCAAAAGGUACCAAGGGCCGCAAGUGCUUAUAAUGGGCAUUCGUGGAAUAUUUUGAAUAUUCUUACUUUUAACUUCACCAAUGAACUAAAAAGAGUCUCUUUCAAAGUGUGAAACAUAUUUCAAGACAAUUAUCUAUUUUUAUUGUGAAAGUGUCUAGAUUGUGGUACUUCCAUAACAUCAGCCCAAUCCAUACAAGCUCUCUAGAUUUUGGAGUGCUUGGUGGAUCUUGUGUUUGGUCCACUCUAUUGAUAGGUAUGUUAAAGGGAAGAAAACUUCUCGUGUGCUUGGGAAAUUGAGUAGAUGAUGUAUCUUAUCUCUCAACUUGGAUCCAAAUAGGCUCUCUUGGUUGGAACUCUGGAGAAUCAACCACAAAGUGAUGGAACUUGGAUAACUCUUUCGGGCUCAUAUCUAUAAAAUGUUCAAAUAUACAAGAGUUUUAGUUGUUUGUGAAAGUAAAUAGUUACCUCGAAUGAUGUUCACAAUCCAGCUGUAGAAUUUCUCUCCAAAAUCCUGGUCAAAGAUCAAGCAGUUGAUGAACUCUGCAGAAGGAAUGGUCGUCCUUACCCAGAAGACCUAUAACAAAGCAUCUGUCCUAAUGAGUGAAAGCCUACCUAGCAAUGCUAGACUCUUGUAAGGCUUUUGAUGAGCUUCCAUGCGCAUUGCGUGUUGGAAGCCAUCUUGGAGUAAGUCUCCCACUAUAUUUGGCUUGAUGAAUAGGUAACGCCAGACCAUUGCAACCACACAUGCCUUCACAGCUUGCUCAUAACCUUCACCAAGUUCAGUGAGUCUAGACUCAAGCACUGCAUUGUAAUUGGUAAUUGCAGGGUUCUCUAGAAUGGAAUCCACAGACUUGCACCAAUUGCCCUCCUCCUUUAAGCUUGAUGCACCUUGCAAAUGGUUGAGUGCAUUCCAAAUAUGUAGUGCGCAUGCCUUGAAGUCCAUCUCAUAUAGUCCUCUUCAGGCAAGUCGUCGGUCAUUCUCAUCUGGAACCUCUCCAGUUGCAAUUGCCAAUGUUGCAAUUGUACACCCGCGAAAUACUUGUGUGUUACAUUCGAACGCUUGGAAUAACAACCAACCCAUAAAGACAGCAUGUGCAUAUAGAAAUAAGGAGCAUAUAAAACUUGUGCUAUAAAAUUAACUUACCACAUCCUACUCUUCUUGUCGCAACGUCCUAGAAUGCACUGGCAUCUUGGGAUGCCAAUACAUAGCUCUUCCCUAAGCACAAAUAGUCCAUGCGUUUGUAACAUAAAGUUACUCUAGUGAGCCAAAUGAAAAUUAGAUUUACCGAUUUUGGAAUCUAGUGAAUAGCCUCUCUAAUGGCUUUUGCAUGUGGCCCACCCACAUCUAUUGUGGCUUCCUCUCAUACCAAAGCUCCUCCAAUCUCAGACGCAUAGACCACUUUGUAAUUCAGUGUGUGUAGAUUAGUAUUGAAGGUGAAUUGGAAACAACUGAAUUCAUUGUUUGGUGCAAUCUGGAAGGAUAAGUGAGGGAACUCCAAUUCAUAGGCAAUCCAUUACUUACCAGAAUGGAGACGGCCUCAAAUAUGUAUGAGUAAGUCUGCAUGGCCGAAGCAUGGCCUUCUUGAUGCAAAAACAGGAGAACUUACAAUACAGUGUUUCAGUAGUGUCAAAUAGUUCUCUCAAUUGUUGUGCAACUGAAAAUAAUAAGAUGGUACUAAGUGCUAAGAAAUAGAUACACAUACCUCUUCUCAAUAAACCAUGUUAUUGUGGACCCAACAAUUGAAGGAGGCACAUUAAUGUUUCUUUCAACAAGGAGUUGUUGGAUUGUGUUGUUAUAGAACACACCCUUGUACUGUGCUUCUAAAAGGCCAAGCUGAAGGAGAACACUCUCCCAAUCCUACCAAUGAGGCAUAGUUUGGUUGAAAAGCACGUGCUAAAGAAAUAUUUCACCACCAACCCAAUAGAACUCAGGGUAUUUAGCAACAACAUCUAGCAUCUCCUUGUCACUUGUGUUCUCCACGCUAAAGCAACCAAGAAGCUUAUGUUUCAGCCACUGCACAUGUGAGAGAACUUUAGCAUCCCCUGUGCCCUCACCUCAAGGGCUAUGGUGGCAUCCUGUAAGGCAGAAACUUCCUCAUGUUGCAACACGAUGAAGUUGGCACUAUCCUAAGUGGUUAAUUGAACAGCUUCAUUAAAUGCAUUGGUGGCAUUAGUCCAUUGUUGUUGAUGCUCCAACAAUCUACAUGCAAACGUUAGUUAAAUUUCGAAUGCCACAAUUUUCAAUUAUCUUACUCUACUGUAGAAAAGUUGUCAAGCAACUCCAUAAGAGUAAGCGGACUGGAGCUACUUCCCUCUAGAAAGGGGGGUGGAGGCACACCAUGGUUUUCAAGGCCUGCGCUGUCACUAUCAUACACUAUUAUUGGCCUAUCUGCACUCAGAAAUUAGAAAAUGAAGGAAAUAUUUAUUUAUGUUAAUACUUUUUACCAGCCACAUGGCUUGGAGCCACUAUUUCUGGUGACAAGGAUGUCUCCAGAGAUCCUUGGUGCGGUUCAUCCUCACCAUCACCUUGUUCUUUGACUUCAGUAAUGUUCAUGUUGUCUUGUGUGGGGAGAGUUUCUUCCGGUAAUGGAAGAAUGUCCUCUUCAUCUGCAGAGUAUUCUUCUUCAUUAUUCUUAUCUUGGUUUAGUUUUUGCGUGGUUGGCCUCGAGAGAAAUGGCUCUAUCACUAAGAGAUCAUCAUUUGCAAUCAAGGUAUUUAUAGCAGCUACAACUGCAAAGACCACAAUAUAUAUUUGUGAGGAGGGAACUUAAAAAAAAUAAUGACUUAAAUUUAUGAACAUCCUUCUCCUUGAGUGCUCGGGCUUGUUUUUGAUAACUUAGCCAAUGUUUGUCACUAAAAUACUCCAUAACAUUGUAUAGGUAUAUUAUUGUUGCCUAGUUGCCAUUGGCCUUGUUUGCUAUAGCUCCCCAUGAUGUUUGAGGAGGCCAGUAGCAAGGCCGGAUAGAGCUGAGGCCAAAUUUUGCAGACUCGGCAUGGGCCUCACCACCAUUGGAUUGCCUUGCACGUUGGACAAAUGCUCCUGGGUUGGUCAUAGAUGAAGGUUGGAUUCCUGAGGCUUGGAGUGAUAGUAAAAUCACAUGUUGGGCCAUAUCGGGCUGGAAAGGAAUACUGGAGUAUAAGCCACCCCAUAUGAGACACUCUAGGAAGUCCAUUGUCAACUCGUCAAGUUUCGUCACUUUCACAAAUGGCUCUCUUUUCCACCCAUACAAGUGUACAUGCCAAGUCUUUGGGAUUGCAAUCCACUUGGUGACAAGAACUGUGGUGAACGGUCGGGGGACCAAGGGUGUCGUAGACGACAUCCCACCAAUGACUUUGGAUCGACUGCCACAACGUCCAUGACGACAAGAUAAAGACUGCCGAUUGUUAUUAGCAUAAGUGUGCAUUGCAGCCACAAGUGGUGAGAGAGUCUAGCAUAGUGAAACUGUCGCGAAUGUGACUUCAAGUAUCGAAAGUUACUUGCCAGCCAGUCCUUAAGGACACUCUUACCUUACUACCACGAUGGCAGGAGGUCAGUAUUGCCGGUUCCCUUUAUUAGCCCUUUUUGUUCAAGUGUUAGUAAACUGGACUUUGCAUCUGUACUUAGCCGGAUGAGCAUAAGGAAGGAAUUCCUAAGUGUCUAUUUAGCUGAGCAUACUUGGCCUAGCUUGUUAGUUCUCUUUUGCUCUGUCUUGCACUGGCUUGACAAGAACCCUUGCGUAUUGAGAUUAAUCCCUCAAUAUCACUACAUGAUAGCUUACCGUGUCUGCCAAACACCCUCGCUAUCAUGCCCUUUGUGUUAGUCUCAAUUCGGUCCCAAAUGCUAUUUAUGGAAAGUGUCCAGAUUUGCUCAUUUGGCAUAUCUACGGAAUGUAGAGAUUGUCUUGAACACAACAGUGUUCGUCCCAUGUCCAAAUUUGCAAUCUAGGGACAUUCCAUAUUUAGUAAGUUUCGAGCUUGUCCUAGAGACUAACUCCUGAUACUAAGGGAGGCUUGGGGUGAAAGCCCAAAGCAUGUGUUCCUCAAGGGGGGGGGGGCUAUGGGGGUUUCAAAUGUAUAAUAGAGAUAGUGGGUAGGUUGAGUAUGGCCGACCAACCUAAGGCAUAGUUUAGCUCCCGUUUGCGUGCCUGUCUUUGUUCUACGUUUAGCUUAGGUUUAAGCCCAAGUUCCAUUCCAUGCUAGCUGGUGGAGUACCCAUAUCCUCGCGUUAGGCCACUGGUAUGCCGAAAUAGCGCCAGACUCCAUUUGGCUUCGUUUUAUGUGCUGGUCCUAGCAUUGGGAUGCUGGUUGCUCCAGGACUGUUCCAAGUCGCUCCGGGCUUCUGUCCCUUCCCUCCUUGGGCUGUAUGCUUGAGAGUUGCUCUGUGGUCCGGUUCCAUCACUCCUUGGCUCCAUGCUUGGGAGUUUGGCAUCGUUCCUUCAUUUAGUGGCCCAAGGCUUUGAACCUCGGGUUCCACACCACGUUCCUUUGGACACGUGGCAUGUGACAUGUGGCAUUUGUCAUGUGGCACAAAGAGGGUUUAGGUUCUGCUUCGUGGUAUUAUUCUAUGGUAAAUCACCAUAGGAUAAAGGGUCAAAACCACAUGUGCUACAUGAGUCAAACAAAUUCAAAGAAAAAAAAAGUUGAAGAAUGCAUGGGUCAUAUUAUACCUAUGGCUCACAUGGCAGCUUGCCUUGAGGGUCAGCUUGAACAUAUCUGGAUGUUGAAGCUCCACUAGAUGAUGAUGUCGAUCCUUGGGAGUAGUUGUGGAAUGCUGAUCGGGAACUAUAAACUUGCUGGUGUGGCGCAAUUGUCAACUCACCCUACGCAGAAAAACACAUGGAAAAAAGAUGGGUACAAAUGAAAAACUUACUAAGCUAGACCACUUGUUACUUCGGGAGGUAGAUGGCUAGGUAUUGGCACUUGUACCAGUGGAUGGAGUUGCAUAAGUUGUAGCGGUUGGUGGAGUUAUGGGGCUGGUAGUAGUGGCACUAUAUGGGCUUCUGUGAGUACGUCUUGUAGUUGGUGUUGGUGGCAAUGUUCCAGAUUGGACAACAUUGUGGGCAUAAGGCAUUCGGACUUGCUCAUUUUGGAUGUUUGGGCUGUUGCUUUCCAAGGAAGGCGAGGAGAACGAAACAUGCUAGAGGUUCCGCAUAUAUUGUAGUGUAUGCAAUGUUAGGCAGUGCUCUGCUUGCUCAAAUGUAGUUGGGAGUUGUGGAUGGGAUGCUAUUGGAGUUGAUGUCCCUACUGCAGAGCUUGGAAAAUCAAGUGGCUCACAUGUGUCUCGCGAGACUGUUGGCUAUAUCAAUUGCGGAACAUCGAGUGCUUGGCUACAUGCUCGUGAGGUGUUUCCUACAUAGUGUCUACUGUUGUUGAGGCAUGUGGCAUUCUUGCUUUGAGCCUAGAAACCACAAGGGAUUGGUUAUGCAAACUUGAUCAAGGAGAAGCUACCCACCAUCGCAGCUAUGGCACUCUUGCUUGGGCGGUGGUCCUGCAAUCGAAGGAGUGUGCACUAGAAGCCCUGCCUCCGGUUAGAUGACGCGAAUCGAUUAGAAAAAAUGAAUGAAUCAUCGACAAAAAUUAUGUCAUAAAAUGAAAUCGCCUCAUAUCCAAGACACAAUUAAUAUGGGUGGGACUUGGUGUAAACCCUAAUCCUGAACGUGGGAACCCUAAAAUUGAAGAAAUCAAGAAUUGAAUUUAAAUUUGAAAUGUACUCUAAAGAAUACUCAGUUUUCUCUGAGUAUGGCUAAGCAUAAUUUUUCCAAAGCUUGUCGCUUCACUAGUGUUGCUGUAGGCAAGGCACUCUCAAUGUAAAGUGGUAGAUCUACACCUGCAACAUCAACCAUUGCACAUUCCAUUUCUAAAUCCAAAUGAAGUAGAUAUUGUUUGUCCAAGUUGAGUCCCUCCCGAUGUAUAAAAAAUACUUGGUUUCGAACAGUGCCAAGAGCCUGUAAGGUAGUUAAGCACAACGAAAUAAAUUUAAAGAAAUUGUUCUAUUCUUGCUCUAAAGAUUACCUUUGACAGAGUUGCACCUUCGACAUUGGAGAGAAAUGGUCUAGGAAGGUUUUCAAUAUCUUUUCCACAACACCGGCAUAAUCUUACAAAUGCACAAUUUAUAAAGAAUUCUAUAACAUUACCAAAAUUCUUACCCAAGCUCUUGUUCCAUCAGUUGAAAUAAGUUUGCAAGAACAUGAGAUAGUCUGAAGUAAUCAUCACAUCAAUAUAGACGGACUUCAUGGAGGUUCUAGGUUGCAACCCAGUGUGAAAUGUCCUUCUUGAGGUAUGGAGCAAAGACACAACAUAGACUUUGGUUGUGCCAUGGAUUAGAUACAUCAAGAAUUCUUAUGUCUUCCAAAAACCACACCAUGUGCUCAAAGAGCUCUCUUCACAAAUGCUCUAUGCAUUGCAAAACAAAUUUGAUUUAGUCUUUAUUUGGAAAAACUCUAACACUAUGAGUACUUGGUUACAUGUUGAUGUCUCAUGUAUGAAGCUCCUAGCUGUAGAACCUUAAUAGCGGACCAUGUCCUUCUCAACUUCAUUGUGCUCUGGAGCAUUGUUGCUCUGGAUCCGCUUGGGCCUUCCAAAUUGAUAAACAAUCUGUGCAUAUGUGUUGAAUAUUGCAUGGGAUUCUUUGGAGGUAGCUAGCUCACAAACUACAAUAUAAUAAGUUGCACCGCAAAUAAUGGCAUAUAUAUAGAAACCAUAGCUUACAAACUCGCAAUAUGCUACAAUAAACAUGUUACCACAUAUGUUGAAAUGAAAGAAUAUUCACAAUCUAUAUGGCAAACAGCAUAAGCCUCUUCGUUCUUAUAAAUCUGUCGUCAAAUCCUUGUCAUGUGCCUCUGUUCUAGCAUAGUUGGAUCGUGAGUGGCUAAGGCGUCACAAAUUUGGCGUCAGCUAAACCAAUAUCCUCCACUUCGACAGGUAGAUUGGGAAUUGAUAAUUCCCCCAGUUUGUGCCACCUCGAGUCAUAGCAUUGUUAGUUCAAACAUGAUGAAGUACCUCUUCGGGUGGUACUUUAUAAUAUACACCUCUCCAAUUUGGAUUGACAAGCCGCAUAUAUUUGUACAGUGUUGGCUUGGAAAUUCUAAGAUAGCAUGCGAGGUAAGCAAUAGUCUUAGUCUUGAGGAUCUUCAGGUGCAUCCAUGUGCCAAAUGUGGUUGGACUACCAAAUCCCCUCAAUCACAAAAAAUUAUGGAAAGCCUAAAAACGUGCAAAUCAUGACUCUAGGAGGCUAGAAACUAAACAAACCUCUAGGAGAGCAUUAUUGACACUAUCCACACCAGAACCACAGUCCGAAUCACUAAAAUUGGAUGGAAGGCCAUCCACCUCGUCUUCCAGUAAACCUAGAAGAAAAAGUUUCAGUGACACAAAUUUGAAGUAAACUAGGGAGAGAACUAUACUCAUGGUAAGAACUUGAAAGAGCAAUCAAGUAGUAAAUCAAAGCCACUUCCAACAUUGCCCAUAAAAACAUUUGAAACCAAUCACUAGCAAAACAAGUUACUUUCCGCAUUUGCUACCAAGAAACAUGCCAAAUAACAAAGCACUAAAGCAAGGCGCUAAGGCAAGGAAGCACCUCCUAAACCCUAUGACCUAAUGAAUCCCUAUGUCAUGGGGUCAAACUUGAUGAUAUGUGGCAUCUAUGUAUAGCACAUUGUUCAUAUUAUGGGGACAUCAUCGACCCAUCAGGCUAGCAUCCAUGGGGUAUCCAUGAGGCAUCCAAAUGACAGUUAAUGCUGAACCAAUAGAAAAUUGCCACAUGGACACUAUAUUGUGAGUGAAAUCUACCACAGUAACACUCACCCUUUUAUGAAUUGCACACCAUACAAACAAUGUUAUUCACAACUUCUAGCAUUUGUGCUCUGCUGCAAGGGAAUGGUAUGGGAAAGAAUGUGUCCUUUUGGUACUAAAAUGCCAUGAUUUAUUGCAAAUGUGUUGGUGAUAAAGCCAACGUUAGUUGGGUGUCUUUUAAGUUGCAAGAAGGUGUGAAACACAAAAUCCCUAGGCCCCAAAGUGGAGCCGGAAGGGUGCCAUGUGGUGGUGGCCGAAGCGAAAACCAAAUGAGCGUAACACGUUUGGUCUAAAAAGCUCCGACUUGAAAAGGUCGAGAGUGGGAGUGGAACUCCUAACGAAGUGCUUGAGGAACGAGCACAAAGCGAGCAAUAAGCGAGGCUCCAAAAAAGGGACCCAGAAAGAACCAACACAUGACACGCAGAAGUGUCCGAGAUGGACCCGAGAUGGAGUCCGAGAUGGAGCCCGAGAUGGAGCCCGAGAUGGAGUCUGAGAUGGAGUCCGAGAUGGAGCCCGAGAUGGAACCGAGACCGAGACCGAGACCGAGGCCGAGACCGAGGUUGAGUCCGAAACCGGAACCGAGACUGAGUUCGAGUUUGGGUUUGAGCCCGAGUCUGAGUCCGAAUACUAAUACAGGCAGUUGAGUGAAAGCCCAAAGCGAUCGUUCCACAGGGGGGGGGGGGGGGGGGGGGGGCCCCCCUGGGGUUCCAAAAGUAUAGUAGGGAGAGUGGGGGUUGGAGCCCAAUGGAGUCAGUUUGGCUAGAAAGGGCCAGUUUGGCCCAGGAAAGGCUAGUUUGGCCCAGGAAGGCCAUACCCAGUGUUGGGUGAUGAACUGACCACUAGGAAGUCCAAGACUAGAGUGAAUACGGACCGACAAGCGGGGUAGCUUGGUGAAGUGUUCAAAAGUUGGCUCUAGUUCCUCCGGGAGAUCAACUGACCGAUGCUCCCAGUCCAAGUGUGGGUGGCACUACCUACUUGGAUACCUGGUGUGGCUCAACGGAACCUCGCUCUAAGCCUCUGGCUAGAGCACCCAAAGGCAGAAGGCGGGAAGAGUACCCAUGAGGCCCGCGUAGGGCCAUGGUGGUGAGGAAGUCCUAGAGGACCGUGGGACUUAGUGGUUGGGCCUAUGGGCCUCGAUCCAGUGGCAGUGUUGGUGAACACGGCCAUGGGCAGAAAGGGACUUGGUGAAGACUGGAAAAGGGAUAUUGGGGAAGGUUAUUCCCCAUGUCUGUGAGCAUCCUAAGGAUGCUAAGGAGUGGAUCUGGAAUGAUCACUCUUGGACGGAUGGCCCAGUCCUUGAGAGAUGGGACUGUGAUGUAGGUGGUGUUAGACUUCCGGUGUGACCAAGGUAAAGGGGCAUGGCCUUAGCAUAAUGGGCUGAUAUGUCAGUGGUACCUUGGGGUGUCGGUCAUGGGAUUGGACACGUGGAGCACUUGGAUCAAGUGCAAAGGUUGAGUGGCGGGGAUGCCAUUCUCGGGGCUAGCAAGCCCAAGUCUGAAAUAGGACUUAUGGAGGUUGUGAGUGAGACUCCUCCAAGUGGUUGGAGGUGUGGUUAAGUGACUAAAGUAGAAUGGAAAAUUUAGUCGUUUACAGAAGGCAAUGCUAUGUAUUAUGAAAUCAGAAAGACAGUUGGUGGUGUCAACUUGGUGUUUGAUUUGGUGACAUAAAAAAUUUGCAGUGCUAGCUAUUGUACGCCUUUUGAGUUAGUCAUGCCUAAAUGCCGACUCUUGAGUAGCACAACAGCCUCAAAUUUGAAUUCUCUACAUUCAUCCUUUUGUCCCUUCUUGUGUGACAUUCUAAUGUUUUGCAUCAAGUUCUAAAAGACCUAAAUGUAGCGGAAGACACUGGUGGAAAAUAAAUAAAUCAUUUAAAAAGAAUCAAGCAUCAUCUUCAAGCUGGCCACUUCAGUCACACUUCAGUUGCUUAGUUGGGGGCCAUUUGGGCACUUUGAAAUCCAGGUUUGGAAGGGAAUCCAGGUCCACUAGGGACUCAAACUUGAAAGCUUCUGAGGUGUCCAUAGUAUGGAUGGCAAUGGCAUCAGUAGUGAGCGAAUCAUAACAAAUCUCCCCAAUAUAUAGCUUGUCCCCCUUCAGUACCGAAAGCUCUUGAGACGUCCAGAGUGGCAUCGGCAUUGAGCAGUAUGUGGGCUGUCCACAGCUGGAUGAAGCUCUUGAGAAGUCCAGAGUAUUCAGCAAAUCUCCUGAGUAUGCGGCCGGUCCACUGCUAGAUGCUCCUUCAGUACCGAAAGCUCCUAAGAGGUCCAGAGUAGGGAGGGGGAUGGCAUCAGCAUUGAGCAAAUCUCCCCAAUAUGCUGCCUGUCCACUACUGGAUGCUCUUUCAGUACCAAUUGCCCCAUGUGCCAGAUUCAAGCCAAGACUAGUUACUAUAUCCCACCGAUCUUCACCUUGGUAGGCGCUUGGAACAGCACCAUUGCUUGAUGCUCCCUGGGCUCAAGCUAGACAAUCAGUCUCCUCUGCCCCUCUUGGAAUCCACUUUGUUGCUGCCGCCUGGAAAAAGAACAUGGGGAGCAUUCCUUCUUUCGCCCCUGCCCCUACCCCUACCCCUCCUAGAAUCCACUCAGCUACUGCUACCGCUGCCGCCCCUUCCAAUCCCACCGAUCCCACUACAUCUAGUCCCCAUAGUGGAAUUCCAAAAGCCAAUGGAAUUCCCAUUGCAAUGACGGGAGUGGGGGAGAGUAGCGGAGAGCCAAGUACCUGCAUUGCAGCUCUCGCCUAGUCCGCUAGUGCCGUAAAGGAGAUUAUCAAAGAGCCAGGUACCACUUGUGCUGGGGACUCUACCACCUAGUCCAUUGGCGCCAUAAGGGAGAGUAUCGGAGAGCCUGGUACUGCUCGUGCCGCCUGGUCUGCUGGCACCAUGAGGGAGAGGGUCAGAGAGCUGUGCACCUACAUAGCAGCUCGCGCCACCUGGUCCGCUGGUGUCAUGAGGGAGAGGGUCAGAGAGUUGGGCACCUACAUAGCAGCUCGUGCCGCCUGGUCUGUUGGCAUGGUGAGAGAGAGCGUCAGAGAGCCGGGCACCUACAUAGCAGCUCGAAUCGCCUAGUUCGUUGGCACCGCGAGGGAGAGUAUUAGACAAUUGGGCACUUGCAUAACAGCUCUGUCCGUUGGCACCGCUUGUGCCGGACUCACUAGCUGCACCCCUCCAGUUUGGAAUCCUCGAUUCAUAGCACCCCUUAGACCUAGACACUCUGGGCAAUGCACAAGGCGAUGCGCCAUACUCCCCAGGCAAUUUGCAGCUUGCGCUCGGGUGCCAGCCUGGAAUGCUGGACUCAUAGCUUGCCCUAGAGCAGCUUGUGCCUCCAUUGUGCCUCUAUUGCUCUUUGUGGGACAAGCAAAUCUCCCUAGAGUAUGAGCUCCUGUGUUUUUCUCACCAUGGCUUAACCUAAUAAAAAAUGUGUUGUGAAGUUACAUUUAUCCCAUAGUAUAUUCUAAAGAAUAUUUUUCCUUUGUGGUUUACCUUGCUCUACUCCUUGUAGACAUUGAAUAUCAAGUAUAAAAACUACCAAUGGCACAGAAUCCUCAUUUAGAAAAUCCACAAAUGCUAGAACAACAAGCUCGUAAAAAAUAUGAUAAGAGAGCGAAGAAGGAAGAAGAGCUUAAGAAAAGGCAUUAACAUCAGUCAUAAAACUCUUCAGUCGAUCAACAACAUCAAAAUCAUAUAUCUGAAACUUCAAAACCCACCAAACAAUACAAUCAAUCAAGUUCUUCCGCUUCAAUAAUGAAGUAAUAGCAGCAUAAUCACUUUCAAAUAACGUCCGAGAACCAUGUAGAUAUCCAUGAAGUUUCUCAAAACCCCAAACUGCUGCUAAACACUCUUUCUCUGUUGUGGAGUAGUUCACCUCCACUAGUUGUAAUGUACGGUUUAUAUAUGCAAUGGGAUGGCACUGACCAGGCACACUCACCUUCAAGACCAAUAACAAAAGCAUCAAUGCGCAAAAUAAAAGGUCAAGUGUAGUCAAGAUAUACCAAAACUAGAGGAGUCGUCAAUAGCUCUUUGAGAUCCACGAAUGCCCACUCACAAUCCGGAAACUAGAUGAAAGAUGACAUUGAUGACUUCAGCAGCACUCGCAAUGAUGUAGUGUGAUUAGAAAGGUGAUCCACAAAAUGGCCGAGAUACUGCACCUUGACUAGGAAGUGUUGCAUAUCAUUUACACACUUCAGAAUAGGGAACUUUAGAAUAGUUACAAGUUUAUUAAAAUCAACUUGUAAACCCUCACAGGAAAUAUGGUACCCAAGAUAAAUUGUGUCCUUAGACCCAAACACGCACUUCGACUGCUUUAGCUUUAAACCAACAUCUCGUGGCCGAUCCAACACUUUACAAACAUCACAAAUGUGCUCUUUCCACAUCCCCUCUGAAUGGAUUAAGACAUCAUCAAUGAAAUCAAUAAUCACCUUUGGCAUAUCGCAAAGAAUUUCGUCUAUCAUCCACUGGAAAGUUGCUAAAGCAUUGUUCAAACCAAACGGCAUCACCAAGAACUAGUACAAACCAAAUAGUGUAUAAAAAGUAGUCUUAGGAAUAUUUUCUUUGGCUAUCGGUACUUGCCAAUACCCAAAAGCAAGAUUUAGAUUGGUGAACUAAUGAUUUCGCCCCAGACGAUUGAAGAGAUCAACAAUAUGAAGAAGAGGGUACACAUAUGGGAUUAUCACUUUGUUUAACAAACGAUAAUCGAUGCAAAAAUGAAUACUCCCAUCAAGCUUCAUCACAAGAUGAAGUUCACACGCCCAAGGACUUCACAACUUUCGAAUAACACCCUUCUCCAACAUUUCCUUGAUAUUUGCACGUAAAAUUUUGAUCUCUUUGGGUGACCAACGACAAACAGAAACCUUGAUUGGACAAGCAUCCCUGUUUGGAACCGAAUGACAUGUGGCAAUCUUGGCCCUAAACGAUAGAUCAAUUUCAAAGAGAUCAAAAUACUCCUUCAUGAGCCGGUCAACUGCUGCAACACAAAUAUUGUCGAAGGGAUCGAAAAAGGGAAGAGCAGAACAAGAUGGAAACAUAGGAGGAAGUAGUGAGGGGACAAAAGUAAUAGAAACAGAGGUAAAAGCAAAGGGACAAAGAGGUACGGAAGUGAGAGGAAUGGAUGAAAUAUAUAAAGAAGUAUGAGAUAAGGGGGAGAAGCCUCAAAGUCACAUUUGGCAUGAUUACACUACAACUAAUCUAUACCAAAGAUGAAGUCAAAAGCCCUACUCAGCACCACCCACAAUGAUUGUAACCCAAGCUGAAAAUUGCCCACACGCACAACUAAGUUUGCCUCAUCCCAUGUACAUGUAUAUGUAUGGCCGUUGCUAUAAAAAUGAAAACUGGCUCCACCACACGACACAAGUGUAGAAAACAACAUGUGGCAAAAAAUUGAGCAAUAGAAAAUAAACUCAAACAUAUAUCAACCAAUACAGACAAAAUAAUAGGAGACCACUUGUUAUAAAAACAAGCUUGGAAAGUAAACACUGGAUGAAUUGGUGCCGAGUGAACCCCUUGAUGAUACUCCCGAAAAAAAGAUGGAAGGGUCAUUGACUUAUUCAUGCAAAGUCCCUCUAUUACUCGUGUGACUCUUUGUUUCCUAAAUGCAUCUCGAUGUCCAGAUCUUCCACUGCAACAGCACCAACAGGACGUUGUUGAUGCCAAAGUCUCCACCUAGGAAAUGAUGGCCGCCAAUCUGGAAAAUGCAGAUAACACUGAUAAAUAUGACCAACUUCAUCACAUGCCCAGCAAUGAACAUCACAGCCAUGACCACGGCCUCGCCUUUGUCCUUGGACUUGAGCAGCAACAGCAUCAACCUCCAUUGGAAUAGGACCAUCACUCAUAGGAAGUGGAGCUGAAAGACAUGCAACGAGAAGUGGAAGAGGUGACGUCUCAUAACGUUGUGCCAAGCGAAGAGCAUCGUCAAAGGUGGCAAGAGCAAUUGCAUGCAUAAGUCCGACAAGAUCUUGAUGAAGUGUUGGCCACAACAUUCUUAGCUCAAGCCACUCUGAUAUAUUUGGCUCCGCACGAAGCAAGAAGUUUCGGAAACGAAUGCCAAAUUGCAUCACCGACUCAAAUGACCCUUGACGAAGACGAUGCAAUUGUUAGAAGGCAUCAUCACAAUCAUUGGCAUGUCCAAAUGUAGGUUUGAAGACGUCUGAGAGAACACUCCAAUCCCCACGAGUGGCUAUGCUCAAACCAUUAUACCAAUGCAAUGCUGUCCUUUGGAGACACGUGGGAAACUUACACAAACAUCAAGCAUCAUCCCAAGAAUGAUAUGUGGCAAUCACCGUGAAGUGAUCAAACCAAUGGUACACAUCAUCCCUGGCAUUCAUGGCACGUGGUACAACUCCUCUUGCUCUUGGUGCCAAUCCUCGCAUUUGGCCGGAAUUCUUUCGCGGGAAUCCUACCAUUAACUAAGUUUAGUUAUUCAAUUGCAAUCGCAUAGCAUCAAACAAUUGUAUUAACUGCUGCUCCAAAGUCAAAGGAGCAGGAGAUUGCUAAUCUGCCAUGAAAAUGAAUGAAAUGGAAGAGCAAAAGAAGAGAAAUGGAAAAAAGCUAGAAAGAAAGGGAGAUCUAAACAAUGCAAAAAGCUAGAUUUAAACCAAAAUCUUAAAAGGAAAGAACAAAAGAAAGGAAAUGGAAAAAGCUAAAUCCAAAGGAUGCAAAAGCUAAAUCUAAACCAAAAUCCCAAAUCCAAGCACUCCUCAGAGACAAUUAAAAGUGCCCCUUAACACCACCAAUGUGAGUGCAUGGAAUUAUAGAAAGGGAAUAUUGAAAAUGUGCAUAUCAAUUAACCUAAAAACCUUCACUUAUAUAUAAGAACAAAUGGUCCAGAUUGAAACCAAUCCGACAGUUACCAAAAUCCCAUUAUACUAAUAUUAAAAUCUGACAUAAUAGCCAUACACUUGGACCUCACAUUUCUUUUUCCUUUUUUUUUGGUUUGUUUCACAAGAGGUGGUGGCAGCAAUGACUCACACAUUCGAGUGGGACCAAAGCCUUGUUGUACCUCUGGAGUGCUGGGUUCAAAGGAGCUCACUCAUUUAUCAGUACAGGCCUUGCGAGGUUUCAUACUUGAUGGACUUUAAGGAUGCAAGCUUGUAGAUUGGCCGUCUGAUCUACAUUGCAGCAUGACCAUGUCGAGCUCCAGAUGCUGUGCUCGACAAGCAAGUCGAUCGUGGAGCACGCACAGUCAGUGACAGUGGGAAGCAGCGACGAGUGCCAGCUCUACUGUGCCGCCCCUGCCGUUUUCGGCAAGGAUUUUAGCGGCCAUUUCGUGCAGCUGUGCAGGAACGUCCAGUGGGAGCCGGAUGGGGUCCCUUGCUCGCAAUCUGAGCUUGGAGAAAUAAGGGAGCUGGCAUGGAGAGGGCUGAUUCUAGUCUUCAACUUCCAGCACAGAGUUCUGGAGCAUUACUUUGAUGAUGGCCAUAAACAAAUGAGUAUUGUGCUGUUCGGUGCCAUGGUCGUCUACAUUGUUCACAUAUGCACACUCUUUUCGUUGGAAUGUGUUUCUGAUUUGUUUCCUUUUUUCUUGUGUGUUGUUUUGCACAGCUGAUAUUUGAGGAUCACUUGGCUCUAGACAUUGAUCACAAAGCGUCACAAGAAUGUGAGUGACAUGAAUUAUCUAUCUUUGCUUUGUGGAAGUAUUUACUAAAGCUGUUUAUGUAGGGAUGGUGGCUCUAAAUAGUCACCCAAACCUUGAUACAAUCUGGAGCACAAGAGGCAUUUUUAUUGCAUCAGAUGCGACUAAGAAGAGAUGUCUAACUCUUGAGAAGUUGAUAAACUCUCCCAAAAUACAGGGGGCCCUGGGAGCCAGCGCUGAUGAAAUAGGUGAUGCUAUGGUCAAGGCGAUUGCAGUUGGUGGUACAUAUUAUGAUUGGGAACACAAAGAGUUGUGGUUUAAAAUGGCAAAAAUAUUUAGAUGGAGUUAUGAGAGGCUCACUGCAUAUAUUAUAACAUAUGCAAUUU
RNAcentral lists this long non-coding RNA (37159 nucleotides) under Selaginella moellendorffii. RNAcentral describes it as "long non-coding RNA (SMOE_LNC001656)". The record is from RNAcentral. Lineage: Eukaryota; Viridiplantae; Streptophyta; Lycopodiopsida; Selaginellales; Selaginellaceae.